CGGGCAGGUGGUCUGUUAAGUCUUCUGUGAAACUCCGGGGCUCAACUCCGGACAUGCAAAAGAUACUGGCAGACUGGAGUAUGGUAGAGGCAAGCGGAAUUCCUGGUGUAGCGGUGGAAUGCGUAGAUAUCAGGAAGAACACCUGUGGCGAAGGCGGCUUGCUGGGCCAUUACUGACACUCAUCCGCGAAAGCGUGGGGAGCAAACAGGAUUAGAUACCCUGGUAGUCC
Molecule: ribosomal RNA, 229 nt
Filed under: uncultured bacterium
Lineage: Bacteria
Description: partial 16S ribosomal RNA
Rfam family: Bacterial small subunit ribosomal RNA
Source: RNAcentral